This 253-nucleotide ribosomal RNA is filed under the name uncultured bacterium. Its description in RNAcentral is "partial 16S ribosomal RNA". It matches the Rfam family "Bacterial small subunit ribosomal RNA", at positions 524 to 776 of the family's 1533-position model. The record is from RNAcentral.
UACGAAGGGGGCUAGCGUUGUUCGGAUUUACUGGGCGUAAAGCGCACGUAGGCGGACUUUUAAGUCAGGGGUGAAAGCCCAGAGCUCAACUCUGGAACUGCCUCUGAAACUGGUGAUCUUGAGUACGGGAGAGGUGAGUGGAAUUCCCAGUGUAGAGGUGAAAGUCGUAGAUAUUGGGAAGAACACCGGUGGCGAAGGCGGCUCACUGGCCCGUAACUGACGCUCAGGCGCGAUAGCGUGGGGAUCAAACAGU